UGGGGAAUAUUGGUCAAUGGGUGCAAGCCUGAACCAGCCAUCCCGCGUGAAGGACGACUGCCCUAUGGGUUGUAAACUUCUUUUGUAUAGGGAUAAACCUACCCUCGUGAGGGUAGCUGAAGGUACUAUACGAAUAAGCACCGGCUAACUCCGUGCCAGCAGCCGCGGUAAUACGGAGGGUGCAAGCGUUAUCCGGAUUUAUUGGGUUUAAAGGGUCCGUAGGCGGACUUAUAAGUCAGUGGUGAAAGCCUGUCGCUUAACGAUAGAAUUGCCAUUGAUACUGUAAUCCUUGAUUAUAUUUUAGGUAGCAGGAAUAAGUAGUGUAUCGGUGAAAUGCAUAGAUAUUACUU
Molecule: ribosomal RNA, 350 nt
Filed under: uncultured bacterium
Lineage: Bacteria
Description: bacterial SSU rRNA
Rfam family: Bacterial small subunit ribosomal RNA
Source: RNAcentral